This is a small nucleolar RNA of Lineus longissimus, 134 nucleotides long. RefSeq annotates it as small nucleolar RNA SNORA68. The transcript has a single exon. The record is from RefSeq and is a predicted model, not a curated record. NCBI's taxonomy places the organism in Eukaryota, Metazoa, Nemertea, Pilidiophora, Heteronemertea, Lineidae.
CUUGCACAUCUAACCCUUGCUGAGUUAUUCUUUGUAUAACGCCAGCAUUGUCAAGUGUGCAUACAGCAAUGGGCAACUUGUCGCCUUUCUUGAACCUCGUGUUCUAGAUUGUGAACUGUAAAGUUGCUACAAUU